This 503-nucleotide ribosomal RNA is filed under the name Fusarium chlamydosporum. Its description in RNAcentral is "eukaryotic LSU rRNA". The stretch from base 136 to 289 matches the Rfam family "5.8S ribosomal RNA". The record is from RNAcentral. Lineage: Eukaryota; Fungi; Ascomycota; Sordariomycetes; Hypocreales; Nectriaceae.
CUCCCAACCCCUGGUGACAUACCUAUACGUUGCCUCGGCGGAUCAGCCCGCGCCCUGUAAAAAGGGACGGCCCGCCCGAGGACCCUAAACUCUGUUUUUAGUGGAACUUCUGAGUAAAACAAACAAAUAAAUCAAAACUUUCAACAACGGAUCUCUUGGUUCUGGCAUCGAUGAAGAACGCAGCAAAAUGCGAUAAGUAAUGUGAAUUGCAGAAUUCAGUGAAUCAUCGAAUCUUUGAACGCACAUUGCGCCCGCCAGUAUUCUGGCGGGCAUGCCUGUUCGAGCGUCAUUUCAACCCUCAAGCUCAGCUUGGUGUUGGGACUCGCGGUAACCCGCGUUCCCCAAAUCGAUUGGCGGUCACGUCGAGCUUCCAUAGCGUAGUAAUCAUACACCUCGUUACUGGUAAUCGUCGCGGCCACGCCGUAAAACCCCAACUUCUGAAUGUUGACCUCGGAUCAGGUAGGAAUACCCGCUGAACUUAAGCAUAUCAAUAAGCCGGAGGA